GGGCGCAUGGUUUAGUGGUAUAAUAAUCGCUUAGCAAGUUGAUCUUUAUUAACAAGUUUGUGAUUGGUCCUGGGUUCGAUUCCCAGUGCGUCCA
Cadophora sp. M221 is the source of this 94-nucleotide non-coding RNA. The record is from the annotation of a GenBank genome assembly. Lineage: Eukaryota; Fungi; Ascomycota; Leotiomycetes; Helotiales; Ploettnerulaceae.